UCUUGGAAUGCCUUCUAAUUCAAACAGAUAGUCAAUAGAGUACUAGACAGUCAAGCUCAAGAAAAGCUGAGUAAGCUUAGUGAUAUGGAGUUGACACCUCUCUGAGUUACAUUUGUAGACGUAUUUUGUGCAAUUAUUUGGAUGGUGAAUAUCAUUUCUACUAGCUUCCUUGCUGACUGCUCUCAAGUUAAGUUGGUGUUGCUGAUAUGCUUCCUUGCUGAUUGCUCUGCUAAAGUGCCUCAUUUCUACUGACUGACUCUUCUCUGUUGUAGACAAGUCAGUUUGAAUUUUUAUAUAAUUAGUCAUCAGAUAAACUGGAAUUUUAUAUAAUUAGGCAUCAGACAAUUGGGUGUGGUGGUUUUAAUCAUGGGCCACUAAUGUUGAUUUGGAUUUUGUGAAACUGGAAAUGAACUUCAUGGUAUUUGUAUGCAAUGAUGAUGGUAUUACUAUAAUGUAGAAAUCAUUGAUAUU
This is a long non-coding RNA of Spinacia oleracea (spinach), 471 nucleotides long. RefSeq lists it as uncharacterized. The transcript has 3 exons. Lineage: Eukaryota; Viridiplantae; Streptophyta; Magnoliopsida; Caryophyllales; Amaranthaceae. The record is from RefSeq and is a predicted model, not a curated record.